Molecule: small nuclear RNA, 105 nt
Organism: Peromyscus eremicus (cactus mouse)
Lineage: Eukaryota; Metazoa; Chordata; Mammalia; Rodentia; Cricetidae
Source: RefSeq, a predicted model, not a curated record
AUGCUCAUCCCAGCAGCAUAUAUAAUAAACAUGGAAUAACACAGAGAAGAUUAGCGUGGCUCUCCAGAAGAUGGCCCAAAAAUUCACAAAAUGUUUCUUAUUUUU